UACGUAGGGGGCGAGCGUUGUCCGGAUUUAUUGGGCGUAAAGAGCUCGUAGGCGGUUCGAUAAGUCGGACGUGCAAUCUCCACGCUCAACGUGGAGGGGCCGUUCGAUACUGUCGUGACUUGAGUCCGGAAGGGGCGAGUGGAAUUCCUGGUGUAGCGGUGAAAUGCGCAGAUAUCAGGAGGAACACCAAUGGCGAAGGCAGCUCGCUGGAACGGUACUGACGCUGAGGCGCGAAAGCGUGGGGAGCGAACAGG
Molecule: ribosomal RNA, 254 nt
Filed under: uncultured bacterium
Lineage: Bacteria
Description: partial 16S ribosomal RNA
Rfam family: Bacterial small subunit ribosomal RNA
Source: RNAcentral